RNAcentral lists this ribosomal RNA (403 nucleotides) under bacterium. RNAcentral's name for it is "partial 16S ribosomal RNA". It matches the Rfam family "Bacterial small subunit ribosomal RNA", at positions 355 to 776 of the family's 1533-position model. RNAcentral also lists the same sequence under 1 other name. The record is from RNAcentral.
UGGGGAAUAUUGCACAAUGGAGGGAACUCUGAUGCAGCGACGCCGCGUGAACGAAGAAGGCUUUCGAGUCGUAAAGUUCUUUUAUAUGGGAAGAUAAUGACGGUACCAUAAGAAAAAGCCCCGGCUAACUACGUGCCAGCAGCCGCGGUAAUACGUAGGGGGCUAGCGUUGUCCGGAAUCACUGGGCGUAAAGGGUUCGCAGGCGGAAAUGCAAGUCAGGUGUAAAAGGCAGUAGCUUAACUACUGUAAGCAUUUGAAACUGCAUAUCUUGAGAAGAGUAGAGGUAAGUGGAAUUUUUAGUGUAGCGGUGAAAUGCGUAGAUAUUAAAAAGAAUACCGGUGGCGAAGGCGACUUACUGGGCUCAUUCUGACGCUGAGGAACGACAGCGUGGGUAGCAAACAGG